AAAAGUUUUGCCACGUAUGAUACCCGGUCAGCAGCCCCGAUGAAGCAGGACGCGCCGCGUGCCAAUGGACGCUGACACAGUGUCACGCGGGCGAUCCGUAUGUCCGCGAUCGAAUGACCCAGAUCUGUUCCCGCGCGCACGGACGACCUAUAUGCAUUCCCUCCCAAACGCGAUCGGAUGGCCAGAUUUAAACACGAUCGAUGGUCCAGAUUAGAUCACGAUGAACGGUUCAGAUUUACUCCCUAUUUAAUCACGAUCGUACGGUCCAUAUCAAACGUGAUGGACGGUUCAGAUCAAACGCGAUAGUCGAAAACUGCAGGCAAAGUCCGGCAGCGCCGCCAUGGGGAAUUUCACAAAACGCCUCUGAUGAGACCCUUCCCGAUUCCUGUUCUGUAUAAUUUUUCCACCGUUGUGAUUACCAUUUCCUUCUUUAUAGGUUGACCAGAGUCAAACACCCAAUCGUAACAUGAAUCGGAGGAGUCACCGCACCGGAGAGCCCUGCUGUCGGUGAGUUUCGAUUUUUUGUAUUUUUUCGGCUAACCGAGAUCCUUUAACGUGUUUUCUAACAGGGAUUGAUGUAAAAUCGACCGAAAAUAGCCAACCCGAGGUGAACUGCUGCCGUGCCAAAAUUUUGGAAUUGACCAUAGUGGGCCCUGACACUGUUUUUGGAUUUUUUUU
This 678-nucleotide long non-coding RNA is filed under the name Carica papaya (papaya). Its description in RNAcentral is "long non-coding RNA (CPAP_LNC002955)". The record is from RNAcentral. Lineage: Eukaryota; Viridiplantae; Streptophyta; Magnoliopsida; Brassicales; Caricaceae.